RNAcentral lists this ribosomal RNA (513 nucleotides) under Arsipoda shirleyae. RNAcentral describes it as "partial 12S ribosomal RNA". The record is from RNAcentral. Lineage: Eukaryota; Metazoa; Arthropoda; Insecta; Coleoptera; Chrysomelidae.
ACAUAUUUUAGAGCUAGAAAUCAUUUCUAUAAAAUAAUAAAAAUUACUAUCAAAUCCAAAUUCAACUUACUAUAAAAAUAAGUAUCCUAAAAUAAAUUAAAUGUAACCCAUUUUUUCUUUAUUAUAAACUACACCUUGAUCUGAAUUAUUUUUUUAACAAAAUCUUAAAUAUUAACUUUCUAUAAAAAUAUUUAUAUAACAACGAUAUGUAAACUAAUAAAAAAAGUAAAUUUAAUCGUGGAUUAUCAUUUAUAAAACAGGUUCCUCUGAAAAGAUAAAAUACCGCCAGAAUUUUUAAUUUUAAAGAUUAUAUCUAAUACUAAUUUAAUGUUUUUAUUUACCUUUUUAAUAAUAGGGUAUCUAAUCCUAGUUUAUAAAUAAAUUUUCCCAACUUCAUUAACUAAUACAAAAUUAUUAAAAAAUUAAAAUUUCACCUUAUAAUUUCUUAACAUAAUUUUAUUCUUAAAUAAAUUGAUAUUAAUAAAAUUAAAUUAUAUUAUUUGUAUAACCGCA